GACGUACUCCCUCCGUCCGAAAAUUUUUGUCAUCAAAAUGAAUAAAAAAAUUGUAUCUAAAACUAAAAUACGUCUAGAUGCAUCCACUUUUAUUUAUUUUGGUGACAAGUAUUUUCGGACGGAGGAAGUACUCU
Triticum urartu is the source of this 134-nucleotide non-coding RNA. The record is from Rfam. Lineage: Eukaryota; Viridiplantae; Streptophyta; Magnoliopsida; Poales; Poaceae.